RNAcentral lists this transfer RNA (72 nucleotides) under Ictidomys tridecemlineatus (thirteen-lined ground squirrel). RNAcentral's name for it is "Spermophilus tridecemlineatus (thirteen-lined ground squirrel) tRNA". It matches the Rfam family "tRNA". From Rfam's summary of the family: Transfer RNA (tRNA) molecules are approximately 80 nucleotides in length. Their secondary structure includes four short double-helical elements and three loops (D, anti-codon, and T loops). The record is from Rfam by way of RNAcentral. Lineage: Eukaryota; Metazoa; Chordata; Mammalia; Rodentia; Sciuridae.
UGGGUCGUGGCUCAGUGGUAGAGUGCUUGCCUAGCAUGCAUAAGGCACUGGGUUCAAUCCUCAGCACCACAU